UACGGGGGAGCAAGCGUUGUUCGGAUUUACUGGGCGUAAAGGGCGCGUAGGCGGCCAGCACAAGUCAGUUGUGAAAUCUCCGAGCUUAACUCGGAAAGGUCAACUGAUACUGUGCGGCUAGAGUGCGGAAGGGGCAACUGGAAUUCUUGGUGUAGCGGUGAAAUGCGUAGAUAUCAAGAGGAACACCUGCGGCGAAGGCGGGUUGCUGGGCCGACACUGACGCUGAGGCGCGAAAGCCAGGGGAGCGAACGGG
Molecule: ribosomal RNA, 253 nt
Filed under: uncultured bacterium
Lineage: Bacteria
Description: partial 16S ribosomal RNA
Rfam family: Bacterial small subunit ribosomal RNA
Source: RNAcentral